Erigeron canadensis is the source of this 104-nucleotide small nucleolar RNA. The record is from RefSeq and is a predicted model, not a curated record. Lineage: Eukaryota; Viridiplantae; Streptophyta; Magnoliopsida; Asterales; Asteraceae.
AGAUUAUGAUUAGGGCACCUCUGCAGCAAUCCUUUAAACCGUUCUCAGGCAUCAUAGUGAUUCACCAAAUUCCGGACAAAAAUUGAUGAUAUCAUUUCGAGUCU